RNAcentral lists this ribosomal RNA (494 nucleotides) under Nakaseomyces glabratus. RNAcentral's name for it is "eukaryotic LSU rRNA". It matches the Rfam family "Eukaryotic large subunit ribosomal RNA", at positions 88 to 577 of the family's 3401-position model. The record is from RNAcentral. Lineage: Eukaryota; Fungi; Ascomycota; Saccharomycetes; Saccharomycetales; Saccharomycetaceae.
GGCGAGUGAAGCGCGCAAAAGCUCAAAUUUGAAAUCUGGUACCUUUGGUGCCCGAGUUGUAAUUUGGAGAGUACCACUUUGGGACUGUACUUUGCCUAUGUUCCUUGGAACAGGACGUCAUGGAGGGUGAGAAUCCCGUGUGGCGAGGGUGUCAGUUCUUUGUAAAGGGGGGCUCGAAGAGUCGAGUUGUUUGGGAAUGCAGCUCUAAGUGGGUGGUAAAUUCCAUCUAAAGCUAAAUACAGGCGAGAGACCGAUAGCGAACAAGUACAGUGAUGGAAAGAUGAAAAGAACUUUGAAAAGAGAGUGAAAAAGUACGUGAAAUUGUUGAAAGGGAAGGGCAUUUGAUCAGACAUGGUGUUUUGCGCCCCUUGCCUCUCGUGGGCUUGGGACUCUCGCAGCUCACUGGGCCAGCAUCGGUUUUGGCGGCCGGAAAAAACCUAGGGAAUGUGGCUCUGCGCCUCGGUGUAGAGUGUUAUAGCCCUGGGGAAUACGGC